RNAcentral lists this ribosomal RNA (253 nucleotides) under uncultured bacterium. RNAcentral's name for it is "partial 16S ribosomal RNA". It matches the Rfam family "Bacterial small subunit ribosomal RNA", at positions 524 to 776 of the family's 1533-position model. The record is from RNAcentral.
UACGAAGGGUGCAAACGUUGUCCGGAAUCAUUGGGCGUAAAGAGCGCGUAGGCGGCCCAGUAAGUCCGCUCUGAAAGUCAGGGGCUCAACCCCUGGAUGCGGGUGGAUACUGCUGGGCUAGAGUCCGGAAGAGGCGAGUGGAAUUCCUGGUGUAGCGGUGAAAUGCGCAGAUAUCAGGAGGAACACCGAUGGCGAAGGCGCUCAUCUGGCCCAAUACUGACGCUGAGGCGCGAAAGCUAGGGGAGCAAACGGG